RNAcentral lists this unclassified non-coding RNA (345 nucleotides) under soil metagenome. RNAcentral describes it as "partial contains 5.8S ribosomal RNA, internal transcribed spacer 2, and large subunit ribosomal RNA". The stretch from base 1 to 120 matches the Rfam family "5.8S ribosomal RNA", at positions 35 to 154 of the family's 154-position model. The record is from RNAcentral.
GAUGAAGAACGUAGCGAAAUGCGAUAAGUAGUGUGAAUUGCAGAAUUCAGUGAAUCAUCGAAUCUUUGAACGCACAUUGCGCCCCUUGGUAUCCCGGGGGGCAUGCCUGUCCGAGCGUCAUUGCUGCCCUCAAGCACGGCUUGUGUGUUGGGCCCCGUCCUCCGAUCCCGGGGGACGGGCCCGAAAGGCAGCGGCGGCACCGCGUCCGGUCCUCGAGCGUAUGGGGCUUUGUCACCCGCUCUGUAGGCCCGGCCGGCGCUUGCCGAUCAACCCAAAUUUUUAUCCAGGUUGACCUCGGAUCAGGUAGGGAUACCCGCUGAACUUAAGCAUAUCAAUAGCGGAGGA